CCUGACUGUGACCCUAUGUUCUGUAGCCCGCCAGGUUCCUCUGUCCAUGGCGUUCUCCAGGCAAGAAUACUGUAGUGGGUAGCCAUUUCCUUCUCCAGGGAAUAAUAAACCAGUAACAAUGUGAGAACUGGACCAUAAUGAAGGCUGAACAUCAAAGAACUGAUGUUUUUGAAUUGUGGCGCUGGAGAAGACUCUUGAGAGUCCCGUGAACUGCAAGGAGAUCAAACCAGUCAAUCCUGAAGGAAAUCAACCCUGAAUAUUCAUUGGAAGGACUGAUGCUGAAGCUGAAGCUCCACCUGAUGGGAGGAGUCGACUCAUUGGUAAAGACCCUGAUGCUGGGAAAGAUCGAAGGCAAAAGGAGAAGGAGGCUGCAGAGGAUGAGAUGGUAGGAGCUGGCCAAAAGAGGAAAUUGCAGGAGAUUUGGAAGAUGGAGGAGAAGCAGCAGCCAUCCCCCUCCUUCAUUUAUCUCUACUGUACCCCAUCUGCUGCUGCUGCUGCUGCUGCUGCUAAGUCACUUCAGUCGUGUCCCACUCUGUGCGACCCCAUACCCCAUCUAAAAACAAGAAAAUGAAAGAAUGAGAAGUAUAAGUCUUCAUUUGGGAGCAAAGGAAAUGAAAGAUGGAGACUAUUGCAACAUAUCUUUACCACACUGAGUUUCCCCAGCCACAGACAUGGUGUCAUCUCUCUGUUUGUUUAG
Molecule: long non-coding RNA, 697 nt
Organism: Bos taurus (domestic cattle)
Lineage: Eukaryota; Metazoa; Chordata; Mammalia; Artiodactyla; Bovidae
Source: Ensembl